Molecule: non-coding RNA, 918 nt
Organism: Arachis ipaensis
Lineage: Eukaryota; Viridiplantae; Streptophyta; Magnoliopsida; Fabales; Fabaceae
Source: RefSeq, a predicted model, not a curated record
UAUUGACGUGUUUAAAAUGAAAAAUUGGAAGAAUUAGGUAUUAAGAAUGGGGCCAAAAGAAAAUUAAAAACUGUUUGCUGAGCAUAUUGUACAAGUAUUUUUUUUUUAUUAUUAUUAAACAAAUGAUUCUGAAAUUUAAAUAAUCUAUUUUGAUAAGCUUGAUCAGGAUAAAGACCACACCAAAAGGGGAAGAAAAUAUGGAAAUGUGUGUUUGUUGGCUUAAUUUACAAGAAAAAUUAAAAAAUUAACAAAGACGUAUCUCUGAAAUUUGAAUAAUCUAUUCCAUUUGGAUGAAUGCUCAAGAAAAAUAGAAAUAGAAAAUGAUCACCUUUCCACUUACAAGGCAAUGCAAAACACUCAAAAUUCAGAGAACCAUUCUAUUUAACACAUGGGGAGCAAUUCCAAAGUGCACUACUCAACAACACCACCUCUAAGUUUGUAAAUGGUUAUUUUUUGUUAUUGUUGUUGUUGGUAUUUUUUCUUUUAAAGAACUUAAUUGGAUAGUGACACUUAGCAUUGUGAGCUAAUAUAGAUAUAUUAUCAUCUCAGACAGAGAAGAGGGCAUAAGUUAUCUACUUAUAUAUUAAAACCAAGAUUACCAGAAGAGUAAGGUAGUCUGACUUCAGGAUGGUCAACACACCACAUCAUAUGGCAUCCACCAUCUUUAGCAGCAGUUCAUUAAGGGGAUUUUCAAGGUGGGGGGUAGAAGUGCUGUAAAAAUAAGUUAAUAUAAUGAAAUCUUAGGCUUUUAUUUAGAGAGAAACUAGAGGUGAAUACAAUACAGAAUAAUGCAUGUGAAUAUAUGUAAUUACCAAAGAAAUGUUCUGGAAAAUAUGCAACAUAAUCAUGAGAAAAAUUUAUCCCUUUUUUCUUUUAAUCAUAGUACACUACAAAACCAUUUGCAUAGAUGGUAAUAAA